UGGGGAAUAUUGCACAAUGGGGGAAACCCUGAUGCAGCGACGCCGCGUGAAGGAAGAAGUAUUUCGGUAUGUAAACUUCUAUCAGCAGGGAAGAAGAUGACGGUACCUGACUAAGAAGCCCCGGCUAACUACGUGCCAGCAGCCGCGGUAAUACGUAGGGGGCAAGCGUUAUCCGGAUUUACUGGGUGUAAAGGGAGCGUAGACGGAGCGGCAAGUCUGGAGUGAAAACCCAGGGCUUAACCUUGGGACUGCUUUGGAAACUGUCGUUCUUGAGUGCCGGAGGGGUAAGCGGAAUUCCUAGUGUAGCGGUGAAAUGCGUAGAUAUUAGGAGGAACACCAGUGGCGAAGGCGGCUUACUGGACGGCAACUGACGUUGAGGCUCGAAAGCGUGGGGAGCAAACA
Molecule: ribosomal RNA, 402 nt
Filed under: uncultured bacterium
Lineage: Bacteria
Description: bacterial SSU rRNA
Rfam family: Bacterial small subunit ribosomal RNA
Source: RNAcentral